AUUGAACGCUGGCGGCAUGCUUUACACAUGCAAGUCGAACGGUAGAGGGGGCAACCCCUUGAGAGUGGCGAACGGGUGAGUAAUGCAUCGGAACGUGCCCAGUCGUGGGGGAUAACGCAGCGAAAGCUGUGCUAAUACCGCAUACGAUCACUGGAUGAAAGCGGGGGACCGAAAGGCCUCGAGCGUAUGGAUCGCCCGGUGUCAGAUUAGGUAGUUGGUGGGGUAAAGGCCUACCAAGCCAACGAUCUGUAGCUGGUCUGAGAGGACGACCAGCCACACUGGGACUGAGACACGGCCCAGACUCCUACGGGAGGCAGCAGUGGGGAAUUUUGGACAAUGGGCGCAAGCCUGAUCCAGCAAUGCCGCGUGCAGGAAGAAGGCCUUCGGGUUGUAAACUGCUUUUGUACGGAACGAAACGGUCUGGGUUAAUACCCUGGGCUAAUGACGGUACCGUAAGAAUAAGCACCGGCUAACUACGUGCCAGCCGCCGCCGUAA
RNAcentral lists this ribosomal RNA (496 nucleotides) under uncultured bacterium. Its description in RNAcentral is "partial 16S ribosomal RNA". It matches the Rfam family "Bacterial small subunit ribosomal RNA", at positions 30 to 523 of the family's 1533-position model. The record is from RNAcentral.